AGAGGGAACCGCCACGGGCGAAAGGGGACGCGGUCCCCAUUCCGCUACCUGGACGCGGAACCGCUCAAAAAAUGUCGUGGCCCUCGCUGUCCUCAGUGAAGGCUUCGUCGGGGUAACCCGAAAGGACCCGGAGAAGCUGAGGGGAGCUCCGGGGAGAGUUAUCUUUUCUGUAUCAGCGUUGUAGCUGCCUGGAAUCCUCUAGCAGGGAGAUAGGGAGCCGAACGCGGAGAGCACCGCAGUUGCUGCGGUGUCCGGAGCCUCCCCCUCGGACCGUGAAAAUCCGGGAGAGGGCCACGCGAAGUCUCGCGCCAGGUCGUACUCAUAUCCGCAUCAGGUCUCCGAGGUGAAGAGCCUCUAGUCGUAUAGACUAAUGUAGGUAAGGGAAGUCGGCAAAAUCGAUCCGUAACUUCGGGAUAAGGAUUGGCUCUGAGGAACGUGGCCCGUCGGGCUUGGUCGGGAAGCGGGUUAGCGCUUACGUGCCGGGCCUGUGCGAGGUGAACUCCGGUCACCGCGUCCGGUCGGAUGGAUCCGAGCACGGUCCCGUGCCUAGGCACCCCGCGGAUCUUCCUCGCUAUGAGGCCCAGGACCCGAGCACGGAGCCGUUGGCCUCACGGUCAACGUCCGUGUCGGCCUGGAAUCCUCUUCGGCGGCCAUGUAACGGUCAGCUCAGAACUGGCACGGACAAGGGAAAUCCGACUGUCUAAUUAAAACAAAGCAUCGCGAUGGCCCCAAAGGGUGCCUGACGCGAUGUGAUUUCUGCCCAGUGCUCUGAAUGUCAACGUGAAGAAAUUCAAGCAAGCGCGGGUAAACGGCAGGAGUAACUAUGACUCUUUUAAGGUAGCCAAAUGCCUCGCCAUCUAAUUAGUGGCGCGCAUGAAUGGAUUAACGAGAUUUCCUAUCUGUCCCUAUCUACUAUCUAGCGAAACCACAGCCAGGGGAACGGUCCUGGAAAAAUUAGCGGGGAAAGAAGACCCUGUUGAGCUUGACUCCAGUCUGGCCCUGUACGGAGACAUGAGAGGUGUAGCAUAGGUGGGAGACGGAGUGGCGGUCCAGUCGCGUGUCCGUCGCCAGUGAAAUACCACUACUCUCAUCGUUUCCUUACUUACUCGAUGAAGCGGAGCGCGCUGUCCGCCCCCGGGUCGGCCGUACACGUCCUUCGGCCAUGCCGACCAAACACGGUAUUCUUGAGCCAAGCGCAAGCGGGUCGUUGGUCAGGCUCGCGUUC
Molecule: ribosomal RNA, 1225 nt
Filed under: Spondyliaspidinae sp. 2 JRC-2012
Lineage: Eukaryota; Metazoa; Arthropoda; Insecta; Hemiptera; Psyllidae
Description: eukaryotic LSU rRNA
Rfam family: Eukaryotic large subunit ribosomal RNA
Source: RNAcentral